This 492-nucleotide long non-coding RNA is filed under the name Bos indicus x Bos taurus (hybrid cattle). Its description in RNAcentral is "lncRNA (ENSBIXG00005030363.1)". Lineage: Eukaryota; Metazoa; Chordata; Mammalia; Artiodactyla; Bovidae. The record is from RNAcentral.
CUCCAGUGCCCUGCAAACCCUCAAUGAAAGACACAGUCUGCUUUCAAAGAAUUAAAACGGCUCAACUUCAAAGAGUGGCGUUGCUUAGAGUCACCUGGUGCCACUGUCUCGGUGCCUCCUGUCUGGAGAGAGUCUGGGAGCCGCUGCUUACCACCAUCUCCUGCCCUCCUAACCCGUCGCUGGAUACAUUACGGUUACCUGGGCAGAGCAGGGAGAGACCAGAGGAGACAAUGUUUAGCCUGAAUUAGCUAUUUACUGGAGCUGAACAUGGAGUGAAAGAAGUGAGCUACAUAAUGUCUGUCUUGAGCCAACUUCCAACACAAGGGCACUGAGCGGAGAGGUGGCACGGCAAUGUUUCAUCUUCUUGUUAUCGUGAAUUAAAGACUCCAGCAGAAGUCCUUCAUCUGGAAAAUAAUGUCUCGAGGGAGUCUUCAAGUUCAAGAAAGGUAUUUCCAAGAAGAUGUAGGAAUAAAGAAAAGCAGAUGCUGACCA